CAAAACACGCGGCACUUGUACUUUGGAUGUCCAAAGCAAGACAAAAAAAAGGAGAGAGUAGUAGUAGUAGAAAAGGACGGGCCCAAAGCAAGCCAAGCAGUAACAACAUGUCCGCCGCCGCUCUGGGAGGGAGGGAUCAUUCAUUAGUUAGUUACCGUGUUGCGCACCACCAUCGACGGCGCGGCGCCGUGGCGGCACAAAUCCAGGCUGACCUCCAUGCCGGAGUUGCCGCACCCGACCACCAGCACCUUCCUCCCCGCGAACUCCUCCCCGGACCUGUAGUCGCACGUGUGCAGGACGCGGCCGGCGAAGCGCGCGGCGCCGGGCAGGUCGGGCAGGCGCGGCACGGCGUUCUCGCCCGUGGCCACGACGAGCCAGCGCGCCAGGAGCAGGUCGCCGGCGCCGCCGCCGCCAGCGCCCGCCAGGCGGAGCGCCCAGGCGCCGGCGCCCGCGUCGAACGCGGCCUCCUCCACGCGGGCGCCGAACCGCGGCGCCACGCCCGCCGCCGCGGCGUACGCCUCCAGGUACGCCACGAACUGGCCCUUGGACGGGUACGCCGGGUACCCCCGCGGGAAGGGCAGCAGCGGCAGCUCGCAGAAGCGCUUCGGCAGGUGCAGCGUCAGGCGGUCGUAGGUGCGGUGGCGCCACGUGGACGCCAGCGAGUCCGACAUCUCCAGCACCGUGGCCGGCACGCCGCGGGCCGCCAGGCACGCCGCCACGGCCAGCCCCGACGGGCCCGCGCCCACGAUGACCGCGCCGGGGACCCACGACGCGCGCCCUGCCUGGUCCUCCUGCCGCGCCAGCUGCUGCUUGUCGUCGUCCAUCGCGCGCCCCGGCGCCUGGCUUGGAGCGAGCGAGUCUGCUGCUGCUGCUGGCCGGACGGACGGACGGACGGACGCUAGCUGGAGCCUGGAGGGAGCUGCCUGCGUUUUCUGUUUUUUUUUUACCGUGUGACAGGUGAUCGGGGUUUUACUGUGGAAGGGGGGUUUUAUAGGGGUUUGGGUGUCGACGACGGAGCACGUACGCGCUGCGCAGUGCUCUCCUGCUCGCGCCGAUGCUGUGCUGUGCUCGUACUAGCUACUAGGUGGGUAGCAAGCAGCGGUACUAGUAGUGGGAGUGGAAUGGAGCCGUGUGACGCGAGUGCAUGGGUUCCCCCUCCCUCCCCCUCCGAUCCGUGUGGAAAACGAAAUACGAGCGGCGGAGUAUGUUGCAAUGCUCGUCGUGAGGCAUGGUCCCUCCAUGCCACGCUAGUCUAGUCACUGUACUAGGUGGGCAUGCAUGCAGUGGGUCCUUUGCUCGUCCUCUGCGCGCGGUUGCAAAUUUGGAAUAGCGGCACUUGUCACUCUCGC
This 1349-nucleotide unclassified non-coding RNA is filed under the name Zea mays. Its description in RNAcentral is "misc RNA Zm00001eb158560". The record is from RNAcentral. Lineage: Eukaryota; Viridiplantae; Streptophyta; Magnoliopsida; Poales; Poaceae.